Molecule: ribosomal RNA, 464 nt
Filed under: Vreelandella stevensii
Lineage: Bacteria; Pseudomonadati; Pseudomonadota; Gammaproteobacteria; Oceanospirillales; Halomonadaceae
Description: partial 16S ribosomal RNA
Rfam family: Bacterial small subunit ribosomal RNA
Source: RNAcentral
CCUACGGGGGCUGCAGUGGGGAAUAUUGGACAAUGGGGGCAACCCUGAUCCAGCCAUGCCGCGUGUGUGAAGAAGGCCCUCGGGUUGUAAAGCACUUUCAGUGAGGAAGAACGCCUGGUGGUUAAUACCCAUCAGGAAAGACAUCACUCACAGAAGAAGCACCGGCUAACUCCGUGCCAGCAGCCGCGGUAAUACGGAGGGUGCGAGCGUUAAUCGGAAUUACUGGGCGUAAAGCGCGCGUAGGUGGCUUGAUAAGCCGGUUGUGAAAGCCCCGGGCUCAACCUGGGAACGGCAUCCGGAACUGUCAAGCUAGAGUGCAGGAGAGGAAGGUAGAAUCCCCGGUGUAGCGGUGAAAUGCGUAGAGAUCGGGAGGAAUACCAGUGGCGAAGGCGGCCUUCUGGACUGACACUGACACUGAGGUGCGAAAGCGUGGGUAGCAAACAGGAUUAGAUACCCUGGUAGUC